This is a long non-coding RNA of Suricata suricatta (meerkat), 1028 nucleotides long. RefSeq lists it as uncharacterized. Lineage: Eukaryota; Metazoa; Chordata; Mammalia; Carnivora; Herpestidae. The record is from RefSeq and is a predicted model, not a curated record. The transcript has 5 exons.
CGCCGCGUGACCGCCCGGCCGCGGCCGGGACUCCUGGCCCUCGAGCCUCGUCCCCGUCCCUUAAUGGGCCGGAUGGACGCGGCGGUGCCCUGCGCGUCGCCGGGCGGGCAUGGGCCGAGGGAGUGUCGGGCUGGCCUUUCCUGAGGUCACGGUCCUCGAGCGGGCGCGCGUGGACGUACCCCCUUCACCCACGCGCGGCCGCCUCACCCUCUCGGCUCUCGUCCAGCAUGCUGUUUUCUGACACGGAGCCGUGGAGAUAAAUCUUAGGAAAAAUUUAAACGUGCUUCAGUUGAUACCAUGCAAGUAAACUGAAAUCCUGUUAUAAGUAUGACGCUGCCCUAAUACAUUUGGAUGUUUUCAGCCAAGUUGACUUGUGAACUAUCAGUUUCCUCCAAAUGUUGGCUGAAUUUUUUCCUUCCAUACCCCCAAACUCAUCUGCAAAAUCUGCACUUGAUAAUGGAGCUACUGUACUGGCUAUCGGAAGGAGGAGAUUCUGAAGAUAGGGAGAUUCAGCUAUUGAUCUUUGGCAUUUCCCGUGAUCCAUUCAACCUAGAUGCGGAGGACAUGGAACAGUCAAGUACACAAGAAGUUUAAGCGUGUUUUGGAUGUUCCCCUUUAUAGUCCAGUAUUUUUCCAGUUAAGAUGUUUAGUUGUGCAGAAGAAGGGUAUUUGCUUCAUGAUCAUCAGUUUUAUUUGAACUGACUAGUAUUGUAGAGUAUCACCAAGCAUUUUCUGUUUUCAUCAAAGUAUAGAGAGAAUAAAAUCAAUCCUGUAUGUUGACUUAUUUUCUAAAAUGUCUUUCUUGGAUUGAAUGAGUGUUUAUCCUUGGAAAAGAAGGUUCACAGCAAAAUCCCCAUCUCCAUGAAAGCGACUCCUCUGGCAGCCCAACAUCACUUGCCAAGGUACCUGUGUUACAACGAGGGGAGAAGACAAGGCUUGAAGGGGAUCCAUAGGUAUCUUUUACUUCUCUGUCUUAGUCCCCCUGGAAUAGAACAUUUCUCCCCCAAAAUAAAUGAGCUCAACUCAGA